Molecule: long non-coding RNA, 661 nt
Organism: Trichogramma pretiosum
Lineage: Eukaryota; Metazoa; Arthropoda; Insecta; Hymenoptera; Trichogrammatidae
Exons: 2
Source: RefSeq, a predicted model, not a curated record
CUUGAAAAUAAUUAGAUCUUAUCUGAGAGCAAUAGCUGAUUAUAUUGGCAGUGACGAGUUAUCUUAUGUAAGAGACACUUCCAUUCAAAUUAUACAUGAUAAUGCAGCUAAGUACCGAGUUGAACCGACAGAAAACAUUAUUGAUCAGAUCGAUGAUCAUUAACUUUACCCGAGAACGAUCGGCAGACUCGUCUACCAACGCGAGAUAUGCCAUGGGUAAAAGUCUAAUUUAUCAGUCGUAUCAGAAACUCUGAGUCCAAAACUCUUUGGACCAGAUAGUAUUAGCUAGAAUGUCCAAUUCGAAUUUAUGACCAGUAAAAAUUGUAGAAGUUCGCAAUUAUUUAUUGUAUGUUGGAUUUAUUUUACUAUAAGAAGAAAAAUUCGGAGUCUCGGAUCAAAAAAAGAUAUUAAAAAUUCACUGAAGAAGAUAUGAAUAACACUAAUACCUUCAAUUGAAACCCUGAUUUAACGCAAGAAUACUUUAUAAUUCUAGUCGCAUUAACUGUCCUCCAAAUAAACGAAAAAAAAUUUGUCAAUGGAAUAUAUCAAAUCUUUUAAAUAUUAAAGAAUAAAAUUGUAAUUUAGAUAUGAAUUUAUAAUUUUUUUAAUUUAAAUGAUAUUUUAUAAUAAAAAUGAUCAGUUCUAAAGCGUUAACAUCAAA